RNAcentral lists this transfer RNA (66 nucleotides) under Antarctophthirus microchir. Its description in RNAcentral is "tRNA-Leu". Lineage: Eukaryota; Metazoa; Arthropoda; Insecta; Psocodea; Echinophthiriidae. The record is from RNAcentral.
ACCAAUUUGGCAGAUAUAGUGCGCUGGAGUUAAGUCUCAGUUAUAAGUGUAAAAACUUAUUUGGUA